RNAcentral lists this transfer RNA (76 nucleotides) under Shinella kummerowiae. Its description in RNAcentral is "tRNA-Thr". It matches the Rfam family "tRNA". From Rfam's summary of the family: Transfer RNA (tRNA) molecules are approximately 80 nucleotides in length. Lineage: Bacteria; Pseudomonadati; Pseudomonadota; Alphaproteobacteria; Hyphomicrobiales; Rhizobiaceae. The record is from RNAcentral. RNAcentral also lists the same sequence under 1 other name.
GCCCUUAUAGCUCAGUUGGUAGAGCACCUGAUUUGUAAUCAGGGGGUCGCGGGUUCAAGUCCUGCUGGGGGCACCA